RNAcentral lists this ribosomal RNA (492 nucleotides) under uncultured bacterium. Its description in RNAcentral is "partial 16S ribosomal RNA". It matches the Rfam family "Bacterial small subunit ribosomal RNA", at positions 29 to 507 of the family's 1533-position model. The record is from RNAcentral.
AGUGAACGCUGGCGGUAGGCCUAACACAUGCAAGUCGAACGGCAGCACAGUAAUAGCUUGCUCUUACGGGUGGCGAGUGGCGUACGGGUGAGGAAUACAUCGGAAUCUACUUUUUCGUGGGGGAUAACGUAGGGAAACUUACGCUAAUACCGCAUACGACCUACGGGUGAAAGCAGGGGAUCUUCGGACCUUGCGCGAUUGAAUGAGCCGAUGUCGGAUUAGCUAGUUGGCGGGGUAAAGGCCCACCAAGGCGACGAUCCGUAGCUGGUCUGAGAGGAUGAUCAGCCACACUGGAACUGAGACACGGUCCAGACUCCUACGGGAGGCAGCAGUGGGGAAUAGUGGGCAAUGGGCGCAAACCUGAUCCAGCCAUACCGCGUGGGUGAAGAAGGCCUUCGGGUUGUAAAGCCCUUUUGUUGGGAAAGAAAAGCAGCAGGUUAAUACCCCGCUGUUCUGACGGUACCCAAAGAAUAAGCACCGGCUAACUUCGUG